CGCGCUUCCUCUGCGGGUGGGUGCGGGCUCUGUUCCGAAUGGACUGGCUGGCUCGCUAGCUCGUCGGCUGGACGAAUCGAUUCGUCUCGAUGCUCUGCCUACCUUUGCCCCCUGCCUUUUCCUCUCGAGGAGAAGAUGUUUUGUUCCUUGUUGUGGUUGGGCAAUCUGUGGAUUACCUUUUUGUCUUGCGCGUGUAGCAGUUUUUCAGAAAAGUGGAGUUGACUCGGCUGUAGCUAGCGUGGAUACCUACCAGCGACAUAUAGAACAGAUAAUAAGCACUACUUGGUUGUGUGGAGCUCAUGUCGAAUUCAGAUUUCUGUAAUCGUUCAGUUACUUAGGGCCGACCCAAAAUUGCUUGCAGCAGCUUUGCUAGGGCCGACCCAAAAUUCAGAUUUUCUACUGAGUGGUUAGAUCUUCCUAGCUAGGGAUGAAUGAGCUCUGGCAUGGUACUCCUACCAAGAAUGGAGGAAUACAGACGUCUAGCUCUAUGCAUGAACAUUCGAGAGCAUUACCGAGAGAAACAUACAUACAAAGGCUUAAGCAAGAGUAUACUUUAUAAUUGACGCACUGCUUUGUCAAAUACCCUGCUUCUUUCAUGAUUUAGACAAUUGUAUUGUAUCUGACAAGAUUUUGAAAUAACUCAUACAAAAUGAGAUGGUGCCCUGCCCCAUUGACAUAGUUAAUAACGCUAUUGACGAUCACCUAGCCAAGAGGCUCACCGAACUGUGUGGUUCUGAGAACAAAUUAGUUGUGGGAAGUUCUGAAUAUAAAAGAAUAAUUGAAAUGAACCUGGUUAGUAUACUUUGUAAGCUUUCUUGUUGCUUCUGUCUGGGUGAACAGUACUGACCACCACCUGCUUUUUUAGGGAAUAGCCUGUCUUUAUGUUGAUGUUCCGGAUUGUGAGAUCAUAAUUUGGAGUCAGAUGAAUCCCGUGCGUACUUUACUUGGUUUCCCGACAGGAGACAUGACUAUUGUGCUGCUAUAUGAAGCACCCGUUGGCAUUGCAAUUUUCUCUUUUGAUGGGGACUACCUCAAUGAUCCAGCAAAGGUUCUUAUUUUUUCCUUGCUGAUGCUCCUUAAGAUUUGGCUGUCAUCAAUGACAAACUCAAGAUCAUCUAAUCGAUUACUCUGCUUUUUCUACAUGACUUUUGGUAAUGCUUGCCACCGCUUGCUAGUAAUGCUCCCAUUUUUUAAUCAUUGAUCCUGCCUCCUUUCAUGAUUUAGACAAUUGUGUUAUACCAAAUUUCCGUUCGAUUUUCUCAUGUUCUGCUCACUCUAAGGAAGGUGGGUAGAUGAUUGUCAAACUUCUGGGCUGUUAUGGAGGAUCCUACAGGUGGACGGCUGGGCGACGUGCUGAUUCUCGGUGGAAGGGAGCGAGGAGGCGGAGAGUUCGAUCAGAGAAAGCAAUUGUGCAAUCUCUUUCUCCAGGUAAGUGAUACCCUGACAACAGUUUGAUACUAUUGUUGUAUUUGAUUCCUUUCGCUUCAGUUACAAGCUAUAACUAUCCUGCAAGAUGGUGGGACGAAUCAGAAGUCCACCAACCGCUUGCACGUGUCAUGCGUGUUUGUCGGAACAGAUUUGCAGCUACCCCUAUCCUCUCCAUAUCAGAGAAAGAUGGAUGGUCGUAUGUACACCAAUCUGGAUCAACAGAGCUUACUACGUUGCAUUAACCAUACCUUUGUGGUCGUCAACUGAAAUGGAUUAUUUUUUUCAAGUAUUAUUUCAUGGAUUACUGUUUGCUAUUCCAUUACUUGGUGGUUAACGACUAUUGUUAAGGAAGCUCAUCGCUUGCAUCAAAUCGAAUUGCGUGAAAAGGAACAUUUGAAGUUCUUGCGCCUUCUUCUUAAGGAUUUUAUGAUUAAAUAUGGCAUUGACACUGAGAAUUGGAUUCUGAUCCAAUUUGCAACAGCUCUGAAGAUUAUUGUUUUAUGCCCCUGGAGCAUCAGCCAGAUGAAGGCCAUCGAAGAUCACAAGGGCAGCUUGCUAUUGUACAGGAAUUCAACACAUAAGGGCAGCUUGUUACAUUUACAGAAACUCAUGAUGUUGGCAAUGGUAAGGGGGCGAAAUCAUGAAGGCACGGUUGGGUUGCAAGGUGCUCAAACUCUCAUAUUGCGAUUUGCCUACAACUUUGUUUGUAGGUUUGUUUGUUUGGUUGUUUGUAGUUUGUUUCUGUGACCUGUACUAAAGCAAAUAGCAGCUAUUUGCAGUCCGACAUACAUGUGCAUAUACAAAACUCAGAGAAGUCAUGGUAAAAACUUGCUGUUAAGCGACGAUAUGGGUGUCAUAAAGAACUUGGAAUUGGUGGGUGAGCAUGGAAAUCUAAGCUAGUCUAGGUUUGGCUCUGCAGUGUGGUAUUGGGGGACUGUUUGAAUUAGACUUCAGAUUUUAGCACCGCUUUCCUCAGUGUUUCAGGGUAAACAUGCCAUAUGUUGAGCAUCAAAUAUCUUGCGCAUGUGGGUUGAUUUGGUUCGAUCUAGUCCGGCCUGAUUGGUUGAGACCAAGGCUUAUUCGACUGGUUUGAAGCAGUCCAGAGCGGAACAUAUGCAUGAUUUUUUGAAUUUAUUUGGUGGUUUGACCAGUUGAACUUCCUGUUUUUAAUGAUUAGAAUCAUUCACUGAACUUGACUACAGCUAUUCCCUUACCAUAUGAUGGUUACGCUUAUCAGUUUGG
This 2670-nucleotide ribosomal RNA is filed under the name Triticum aestivum (bread wheat). RNAcentral's name for it is "partial small subunit ribosomal RNA". The record is from RNAcentral. Lineage: Eukaryota; Viridiplantae; Streptophyta; Magnoliopsida; Poales; Poaceae.